GACGAACGCUGGCGGCGUGCUUAACACAUGCAAGUCGAACGGAAAGGCCCUGCUUGCAGGGUACUCGAGUGGCGAACGGGUGAGUAACACGUGGGUGAUCUGCCCUGCACUUCGGGAUAAGCCUGGGAAACUGGGUCUAAUACCGGAUAGGAGCCAUUUUUAGUGCGAUGGUUGGAAAGUUUUUUCGGUGUAGGAUGAGCUCGCGGCCUAUCAGCUUGUUGGUGGGGUAAUGGCCUACCAAGGCGGCGACGGGUAGCCGGCCUGAGAGGGUGGACGGCCACAUUGGGACUGAGGUACGGCCCAGACUCCUACGGGAGGCAGCAGUGGGGAAUAUUGCACAAUGGGCGCAAGCCUGAUGCAGCGACGCCGCGUGGGGGAUGACGGCCUUCGGGUUGUAAACUCCUUUCGCUAGGGACGAAGCUUUUUGUGACGGUACCUAGAUAAGAAGCACCGGCUAACUACGUG
This 465-nucleotide ribosomal RNA is filed under the name uncultured bacterium. Its description in RNAcentral is "partial 16S ribosomal RNA". It matches the Rfam family "Bacterial small subunit ribosomal RNA", at positions 28 to 507 of the family's 1533-position model. The record is from RNAcentral.